Molecule: ribosomal RNA, 496 nt
Filed under: uncultured bacterium
Lineage: Bacteria
Description: partial 16S ribosomal RNA
Rfam family: Bacterial small subunit ribosomal RNA
Source: RNAcentral
GAUGAACGCUGGCGGCGUGCCUAAUACAUGCAAGUCGAGCGAACAGAUGAGGAGCUUGCUCCUCUGACGUUAGCGGCGGACGGGUGAGUAACACGUGGAUAACCUACCUAUAAGACUGGGAUAACUUCGGGAAACCGGAGCUAAUACCGGAUAAUAUAUUGAACCGCAUGGUUCAAUAGUGAAAGACGGUUCUGCUGUCACUUAUAGAUGGAUCCGCGCCGCAUUAGCUAGUUGGUAAGGUAACGGCUUACCAAGGCAACGAUGCGUAGCCGACCUGAGAGGGUGAUCGGCCACACUGGAACUGAGACACGGUCCAGACUCCGACGGGAGGCAGCAGUAGGGAAUCUUCCGCAAUGGGCGAAAGCCUGACGGAGCAACGCCGCGUGAGUGAUGAAGGUCUUCGGAUCGUAAAACUCUGUUAUUAGGGAAGAACAAAUGUGUAAGUAACUAUGCACGUCUUGACGGGACCUAAUCAGAAAGCCACGGCGAACUACGU